CAAUAGCGUAUAUUAAAGUUGUUGCGGUAAAAAAGCUCGUAGUUGGAUUUCUGUUGAGAGCGACCGGUCCAUACCAUGUAUGCGUAUCUGGCUUGCUCUCGGCAUCCUCUCGAUAGACGUUACUGCGCUUGAUUGCGUGGUGCGGAUCUCGGGACUUUUACUUUGAGGAAAUUAGAGUGUUCACGGCAGGCUUUCGCCAGAAUACAUUAGCAUGGAAUAAUACUAUAGGAUCUUGGUUCUAUUUUGUUGGUUUCUAGAAUUGAGAUAAUGAUUAAUAGGGACAAUUGGGGGCAUUCGUAUCAACACGUCAGAGGUGGAAUUCUUGGAUCGUGUUGCGACGAACUACUGCGAAAGCAUUUGCCAAGGAUGUUUUCAUUGA
Molecule: ribosomal RNA, 379 nt
Filed under: uncultured eukaryote
Lineage: Eukaryota
Description: partial 18S ribosomal RNA
Rfam family: Eukaryotic small subunit ribosomal RNA
Source: RNAcentral